GGCUCAGGAUGAACGCUAGCGGCAGGCUUAACACAUGCAAGUCGAGGGGCAUCGGGAGUAGCAAUACUGCCGGCGACCGGCGCAAGGGUGCGUAACGCGUGAGCAACAUGCCCGUAUCAGGGGGAUAAUCCAUGGAAACGUGGUCUAAUACCCCAUAGUAAUUAUGUAAGGCAUCUUAUAUAAUUUAAAGCUUUGGUGGAUACGGAUUGGCUCGCGUGACAUUAGCUAGAUGGUAAGGUAACGGCUUACCAUGGCUACGAUGUCUAGGGGUUCUGAGAGGAAGGCCCCCCACCACUGGAACUGAGACACGGUCCAGACUCCUACGGGAGGCAGCAGUGAGGAAUAUUGGACAAUGGAUGGAAAUCUGAUCCAGCCAUGCCGCGUGCAGGAAGAACCGGCCCUAUGGGUUGUAAACUGCUUUUGUAUGGGAGCAAUAAGGGCUACGCGUAGUCCGAUGAGAGUACCAUACGAAUAAGCACCGGCUAACUCCGUGCCAGCAGCUGC
RNAcentral lists this ribosomal RNA (504 nucleotides) under uncultured bacterium. Its description in RNAcentral is "bacterial SSU rRNA". It matches the Rfam family "Bacterial small subunit ribosomal RNA", at positions 21 to 518 of the family's 1533-position model. The record is from RNAcentral.